GCACAUAACAAUCCUCUAUAACAAUACAUUUGGCGAUGUAAAUGCUGACAUCGGAGAACAAUUCAAGUGGAUCGUAACAGUAAAAUGCACUAAUGAAUGUUCUAUCAGUUGGUAUCACGAUGGUAAAGAGAUUCGAUCAGAAAACAGUCCAAUUUCAGAGAAAUAUAACACCACGUCAGAUAUUCAUCACCGUCAUAGUGGGACAAAGA
This is a long non-coding RNA of Planococcus citri (citrus mealybug), 209 nucleotides long. RefSeq lists it as uncharacterized. NCBI's taxonomy places the organism in Eukaryota, Metazoa, Arthropoda, Insecta, Hemiptera, Pseudococcidae. The record is from RefSeq and is a predicted model, not a curated record. The transcript is spliced from 2 exons.